This 429-nucleotide ribosomal RNA is filed under the name bacterium. RNAcentral's name for it is "partial 16S ribosomal RNA". It matches the Rfam family "Bacterial small subunit ribosomal RNA", at positions 355 to 776 of the family's 1533-position model. The record is from RNAcentral.
UAGGGAAUCUUCGGCAAUGGGGGCAACCCUGACCGAGCAACGCCGCGUGAGUGAAGAAGGUUUUCGGAUCGUAAAGCUCUGUUGUAAGAGAAGAACGUGUGUGAGAGUGGAAAGUUCACACAGUGACGGUAACUUACCAGAAAGGGACGGCUAACUACGUGCCAGCAGCCGCGGUAAUACGUAGGUCCCGAGCGUUGUCCGGAUUUAUUGGGCGUAAAGCGAGCGCAGGCGGUUUAAUAAGUCUGAAGUUAAAGGCAGUGGCUUAACCAUUGUUCGGUUUGGAAACUGUUAAACUUGAGUGCAGAAGGGGAGAGUGGAAGUCCAUGUGUAGCGGUGAAAUGCGUAGAUAUAUGGAGGAACACCGGUGGCGAAAGCGGCUCUCUGGUCUGUAACUGACGCUGAGGCUCGAAAGCGUGGGGAGCAAACAGG